CCUACGGGUGGCAGCAGUAGGGAAUAUUGCUCAAUGGGCGAAACUCUGAAGCAGCAACGCCGCGUGGGGGAUGAAGGUUUUCGGAUUGUAAAACCCUUUUGUUAGAGAAGAUCAUGUCGGUAUCUAACUGAUAACCCCUUGCCAACGACGUGCCAGCAGCCGCCGUCAUACGGCGGGGGAAAGCUGUACUCGGUACCACUGGGCGGAACGGGGGCGUAGGCGGGGUAGGAAGUCAGAUGUGAAAUCCUAUGGCUUAACCAGAGAAGUGCAUUGGAAACUGUGCUUCUAGAGUGUGGGAGAGGGAAGUGGAAUUCCUGGUGUAGGGGUAAAAUCCGUAGAGAUAAGGAGGAAUACUCAUUGCGAAGGCGACCUGCUAGAACGUAACUGACGCUGAUGCGCGAAAGCGUGGGGAGCAAACAGGAUUAGAUACCCGAGUAGUC
RNAcentral lists this ribosomal RNA (440 nucleotides) under uncultured bacterium. Its description in RNAcentral is "partial 16S ribosomal RNA". It matches the Rfam family "Bacterial small subunit ribosomal RNA", at positions 338 to 795 of the family's 1533-position model. The record is from RNAcentral.